This 253-nucleotide ribosomal RNA is filed under the name uncultured bacterium. Its description in RNAcentral is "partial 16S ribosomal RNA". It matches the Rfam family "Bacterial small subunit ribosomal RNA", at positions 524 to 776 of the family's 1533-position model. The record is from RNAcentral.
UACGUAGGGUGCGAGCGUUAAUCGGAAUUACUGGGCGUAAAGUGUGCGCAGGCGGCCGAGCAAGUCGAGUGUGAAAGCCCCGAGCUUAACUUGGGAACUGCGCUCGAAACUACUUGGCUAGAGUGUGGCAGAGGGAGGUGGAAUUCCACGUGUAGCGGUGAAAUGCGUAGAGAUGUGGAGGAACACCGAUGGCGAAGGCAGCUGGCUACACAAAUAUUGACACUGAGGCACGAAAGCGUGGGGAUCAAACAGG